GCAAAGACCCUGAGACACCGAGAUAAA
RNAcentral lists this non-coding RNA (27 nucleotides) under Cricetulus griseus (Chinese hamster). Lineage: Eukaryota; Metazoa; Chordata; Mammalia; Rodentia; Cricetidae. The record is from RNAcentral.